Molecule: unclassified non-coding RNA, 210 nt
Filed under: Hevea brasiliensis (rubber tree)
Lineage: Eukaryota; Viridiplantae; Streptophyta; Magnoliopsida; Malpighiales; Euphorbiaceae
Source: RNAcentral
AGGAAUUUCUUGAGUCUCUAAUGACUGGGACUGAAAAAAUCAAGGAACCAUUCAUUAAAGAUUUCAAAGAGCACAAUGAUGACACCACAGUGCAUUUCGAUGUGAUCCUAUCUGAGGAGAACAUGAAUGCUGCAAGGCAGGAGGGGCUGGAGAAAAAAUUUAAGCUCACAACAACAGUAAGCACAAGCAAUAUGCACCUGUUUGAUGCCG